GACGAACGCUGGCGGCGUGCUUAACACAUGCAAGUCGAACGGAAAGGCCCUGCUUUUGUGGGGUGCUCGAGUGGCGAACGGGUGAGUAACACGUGAGUAGCCUGCCCUUGACUUUGGGAUAACUUCAGGAAACUGGGGCUAAUACCGGAUAGGAGCUCCUGCUGCAUGGUGGGGGUUGGAAAGUUUCGGCGGUUGGGGAUGGACUCGCGGCUUAUCAGCUUGUUGGUGGGGUAGUGGCUUACCAAGGCUUUGACGGGUAGCCGGCCUGAGAGGGUGACCGGCCACAUUGGGACUGAGAUACGGCCCAGACUCCUACGGGAGGCAGCAGUGGGGAAUAUUGCACAAUGGGCGGAAGCCUGAUGCAGCAACGCCGCGUGCGGGAUGACGGCCUUCGGGUUGUAAACCGCUUUCGCCUGUGACGAAGCGUGAGUGACGGUAAUGGGUAAAGAAGCACCGACUAACUACGUG
Molecule: ribosomal RNA, 468 nt
Filed under: uncultured bacterium
Lineage: Bacteria
Description: partial 16S ribosomal RNA
Rfam family: Bacterial small subunit ribosomal RNA
Source: RNAcentral